CUGCAGGGAUGUCAUGGACGCCUUCCAGGCCUGCCUGAAGUCAGCAGGACAGGCGACGGAGUGAGCACGCUGGGUCUGACCACUGGUCGGCUGCACCGAGUCCUCCUCCAUCCCAGCAUCCCCCGGCUCACUGCUCCAUCGGCUCGUCCUUCGUGAUGCGGGGAAGCGGAGGGGGGGAGAGGGGGUUUAAAACAGCCGGCGGUGUCUCUUUUUCAACUCCGCCCCCAACCCCCCCCCCUCUCUUUCAGUUCUGCCAGUGUGUCAGCCUGCUGGUGUUCAUGUGUCUCUCUCUGUGUCGGCGCCCGGCUCCAGAGAACAGGCUCUUUCAGCCCUCCAGGUCCCAGUGUGCCAGUGUGUGCGUGCUCUGCCUCUCUGGCCACUCCAACUCUGGGGGCUGGGGGCUCUUCAAGAGCUCUGUAGCCCGUAAAGCCUGGAGUGGAUCAGGCUGGCCUGCAGUGGGACUGUGAUUAGAAGCACUUCAAGCCUCGAGAGAGGGUCACAC
RNAcentral lists this long non-coding RNA (502 nucleotides) under Lepisosteus oculatus (spotted gar). Its description in RNAcentral is "lncRNA (ENSLOCG00000023227.1)". The record is from RNAcentral. Lineage: Eukaryota; Metazoa; Chordata; Actinopteri; Semionotiformes; Lepisosteidae.